Molecule: long non-coding RNA, 5939 nt
Filed under: Sus scrofa (pig)
Lineage: Eukaryota; Metazoa; Chordata; Mammalia; Artiodactyla; Suidae
Description: lncRNA (ENSSSCG00035072132.1)
Source: RNAcentral
GCAGCACCCAUGGUAUAUGGAAGUUCCCAGGCGUAGGGGUCAAAUUGGAGCUGCAGCUGCUGGCCUAUGACACAGCCACAGCAAUUCGGGAUCUGAGCCGCGUCUGUGACCUACACCAUAGCUCACGGCAAUGCUGGAUCCUUAACCCACUGAGUGAGGCCAGGGAUAGAACCUGUGUCCUCAUGGAUACUAGUCAGAUUCGUUUCCACUGAGCCACAACAGGAACUCCUCAAAUUUCAAGUUAAAAAUCUUCAAGCCUACUUAUGUGCAGAAGGUAUGCUUCUCUCACCUUCUUAGUUAUCUAGCAUGUCUUUGGAUUAUAGGAGAUCAGAGAUAGUUCUAGCAAAUGGCAAUUAUUUGAAAAAAGUGGCUCAUGAAUUGAGUAUAUAACUGUCUCUCUACCUUUUUUUCACAGCUCUGGUUUGAAUUCAGACAGGGGCCUAGGGAAUCCAUAGCCCAGGUCUGAAUAAGGGUUUGGUUGGAACUAGGUCUAUAGUGGUAUUUGAUUAAAGAUUUAUCACUUAAAUUGGGAUUUAGCUUUUAUUUCCAAUGGUAGAAAGCAUUUCCUUUACCUUCCACUUUGUUCCUUUGUGUCCCCCCUACCCCCAAUUAAAAAUACUCAAUGUUCCAUAAUGUGUCGUUUGCUUUCAGAUGAACUAGUUACAAAACCAAAACAUUUUCUUCUUCUACUGCAAUUUCAGGAUCUGACAAAACUUACCCAUUUUCCCCUUUGGAAAAAAAAAAAAGGGUCCAACAUAUCCAACCCAAGAAGACACCUGGGGUCCUAGGUAAUUCUGAGGUUUCACUUAAUAGUGCAAAAAUUGAUUUUUUUUGUGGGGGGGAGAGGGGCGGUUAGGGCUGUAUCAGUGGCAUAUAUAAGUUCCCAGGCUAGGGGUCGAAUCAGAGCUAUAGCUGCCAUUCUACGCCACAGCCAUAGAUAGCAAUGGAGGAUCCAAAUUAUGUCUGUGACCUAUACCACAGCUCAUGGCAACACUGGAUCCUUAACCCACUGCCUGAGGCCAGGGAUUGAACCCAAGUCCUCAUGCAUACUAGUUAGGUUCGUUACUGCUGAGCCACGACAGGAAAACCCCCAAACUGUGAUUUGAUUAAAAAAAAAAAAAACAAACAUUUUCAAUUCUUAGAAGAUUUUAAAAGUACAAAGGAGAAAAGAAAAAUUGCUCAAUUGUACCACCCUGGCGUAACUCAGUUCACAUUUGGGCAUGGUUGACUUUCCAUCUUCCAAGUCUAGAUUUUUGUUAAAAGAGUUUAUAUUUUUAACAGUACUCACUCUUAGCAGUUUGGUAAAAAACCUUCGACCUAGGUGGCCACAUUUUGUCCUGCCUUUUGGAGCAUCUCCUAAGAGGAGAAAGUAUAUACCAUCUUCCCAGGGGGAUCUUAUUAAUCAAUACCCCCAUGACACACUAGAGAGGUAGAUUUUUCUCUCUGUUGUGACUGCCGUAAUUUGAUAUUUGCCAUGCCAAUAGCCACUCCAUGCUUUCUUGUAGUUAAGUGACAUUUAUUUGACAUCCUUUGUCACAUGAGUAAUCUUUAUCCUAUGCCGCCCAUUCAUCUUCUUUCAGUCUUUGGCGACAAUCCUUGUUCAGAUAAUAACAGUAGCAUGUAUCUGUCAGUUAGCGACCGUUUACAGUGUGCCUGAGCCUGGUGGAACUCACUGUCAGAAUCCUUGCAUUCUUUUCUGAGGCUAGUGGCGGCAUCGUAGUUUGACAGGUGAGGCCACGAGGUUCAGGGAGUUAAGGAAUUUGCCUGGACACGGCAGAUUCCCACCCUAGGGUCUUGCAUGCUAAAGUCAGGGAAUUAUUAAAAUGUUCUCCCAACAAAGGAAGGAACUUUAUAGAAGGACAUUUCAGGUGUCCACCAGAUGAGUGACCUCAUACAACAGAAAAGCUUCAUUCUGCCGGGAGGUUCAGUGAACGGAAACGAACCCCAUGAACUCUCACAAGGCCCAGGUUCUCAUGGAGUGAUUCUCAAGGUCCUACCCACCAAGUCUCUCACACUUAGGGCAUCCCAGACUUAGGGUUUACUCCUCAGCCUCCCUUUGCCUGAGGCUCUAAUUUGGCAUCUUGAACAGAGCCCUUGAGGACUCAACAGUGGAGGGUUUCUUGUUACAGCCAUGGGAAAUCUUACCCGGAACUGUGGUCUGACAGAGUUAGUCAUGCAGCAGACAAGACAGGGUAGGUUGUGCAAGCCCUCUGUCUGCUUGAGGAUAGAGUAGUCAUGGAAUGAGAGCUGGUGACGUGAGAUUGGGUGUCUGUCUCAUGCGGAAAGAGGGUAAGUCUUCAGGCAUAGAGAAGGUGAGAGACAAGGGUGGAGUCUGGGAAGACAAGAGGGGAUGUGGAUGCUAUUGGCCCGUUAGAAUAAGCUCCACUAGGUGAGCCUCACACCCUGUCAGACCUGAGUCUGCUUUUAGUCAAAUUCAGCAGCUAGUUUUUUGAGGAAAAAAAAAUGAAUCAAGGAUCCAAGCUCUUGUUCAGGUUGUGUGGAGGCUGACAGAGGAGGGGAACAAACUAAAUGGUUUUUUUCUUCAACAAAGACUUACCUGCACCUACUAUACCUGACCUCUCCCUUCUCUAUACAACAAAAUGAUUUUUGUAAGAAUUAUAAAAUGAAACAAAUAAUAGUAAUGGAUAGAAAGGAAAAACAGGAAGUCUGAAUUUUUUUAUAGACGUAGUAUAUAAUAAUGCUAUUAAAAAAUAAGAAACAUUACUGAGCCAAAAAGGAAAAAAGUAAUAGAUUAAAUCCUGAGAUUGAUUUUUUUUUUUUGUCUUUUUAGGACCAAACCUGCAGCAUAUGGAGGUUCCCAGGCUAGGGGUCUAAUCGGAGCUGUAGCCACCAGUCUACGCCACAGCCACAGCAACACCAGAUCCAAGCUGUCUGCGACCUAUACCGCAGCUCACAGCAACGCCACAUCCUUAACCCACUGAGUGAGGCCAGGGAUCGAACCUGCAACCUCAAGGUUCCUAGUUUGAUUUGUUUCCACUGGGCCAGAAUGGGAACUCCCUGAUUUUUUUUUUUUUUUGAUUAAAGGGAGAGAAUCCUUAUAUUAUUUUGUAGUGAUAAAUACAGGCAUUCUUUUCAAGGGUUCUGAGAAUUUCAUCAAUUUUACCUCAACAAAAUUGAUUUUCUUCAGAUAUUCAGGUUCAGUUGAUGGUAUAGACAGUGUUUUCAGUCUAUGCCCAUGAUUGCUGGAAAAACUGUUUUAAAAUUAGUAUUAAAGCAUUUCUUUCAUAUGAAACAACAGAUGAACAAACAGUUGGGAAAAGUCUUAAACAUAAGGCUAAAUUGGACAGGGAUCCAUAAAAAUCUUAUUUCGUCAUAAAUUCCACCAAUCACAACAGUGUCUUUGUUUAUCCAGGAUGGAUUGUAGUGGCUUUCAAAUAUCUUUGUAGCUGGAAAGAUUUAAACACACCUAAGUGGUCACACUGAAGUUCACAGUUGAAGCAAUUCAAACUCUGUUUCUUGCUUUCACAACCACUGUGUUGUCUUUAUUUAUUUUGAAGCUCCUGUUUAAACACAGAAAUAUGUUGUUCCAGAGAGACUGGAAAUAGGAACUGUCCCCCAAACCAGCUCAGACCAUUAAGGACUCUUGAAACCAACACAGGCAGUUGAGUCCUUGCGUGUUGCGGGCCAGCUUUACAAUUUAUUAGUAUUUCCUUUCAUGGAGAAUAUGGUGUUUCUUAAAGGAUCCAUAGCUAAACCAUGCUUAUUUGAAGGUUACAUACAUGUUACUAAAACCAAAUUAGGUAACUGCAGAAAUUGUUUAGAAUCUCGAUCAAGGAAGGUGCUUUUUUCUCCUAAGUAAGGAGUAUUUUUUUCAUUGGCAUUCUUUAGAAUUGCCAACUUGGGAGUUCCUGCUGUGGCGAAGUGGGUUAAGAAUCCCCCUACAGCCGUUUGGGUUGUUGCAGAGGUGCAGAUUCGAUCCCUGGCUCAGCACAGUGGGUUAAGGGAUCUGGCAUUGACGCAGCUGUGGCUCAGAUUCAGUCCCUGGCCUAGGAACUUCCUUAUGCUGUGAAAAAAAAAAAAGAAAAAAGAAAAAAGAAUUGCUAGCUCCUGGUUGUAAUAAAUGGAGACUGAUGACUAGGCAUAAUUGCUGUUGUUUAAAAAAUUUUUUAUAGUCAACACACUUCCUUGGUUCCUGUACUUGGGAAGGAUCACAUCUCCCAGCCCACUCACUGGCCUUUGGUACUUCCCUGCUUAAAAGAUUGCUUUGGCUUCAGGAUUGUUUUGAGCUAUUUCUAAUCCACUUAUUUUCUUUUUCCACUUUUUUUUUGUCCAUGCCCUGGUGGCAAGUAGAAGUUCCAAGGCCAGAGAUUGAACCUGGGCCAUUGCAGUGACCUAAGCCAUAUGCAGUUAAAAUGUUGGAUCCUUAACAUGCUAGGCCGCCAGGGAACUCCCUCUAAUCCAUUUCUUAUUUCCGUUUUCCCACGGUUUUUCUCAAAUGAAGGAUCCUGGAGGGCAGUCUGGGCUGGGGUUAGAAGUGUCUGAUAGAGGACAUCACUGGUCUGAGGCUCUGAGCCCACAGCCCCACUGCCAUGAAAAGAGGACCAUGGCAAUGCUCACUGGAGGGGCAAGUUUGCCUCAGUCAUCAGCGUGCUCACUGCCUGUCCCCAGGGAGACCGCUGGCCCGGUGUCUCACACAGUUGGAAUACCCCACGACCCUGGUACAGGGAGAAAGUAAACCGUCUGCAUCCAGACCGAAUCCCUUUCUAAUCUGGGUUCUUUAGGAAGGUGCCCAGGUAAACCAGUCCCCCGUGCCACUCCCUCAUUUCCACCAGAGGCAGAAACAGUCCCAACCUAGCUCUCCAGGCUCAGCCAACAAGCUGUGUUCACCAGCUGUGUCACCCCCAACCCCCCUCUCCCCCAUUGCUUUUUCUUCUACAAUGUCUGCUUAACAGCACUAUGUAAUCUUGAUGUGCUAAUCCCAUUAGGAGAUGGUCCCUUUGCAGGGCAAUCUCAUCAGAAAUUCCCCUGGAGAAAAAAAUAUUACAUUUGGUUGAGGGAAUCCUAAUUCCAUCCAUUCCAGCCUCUCUAAAAUAUAUCCCUCUUGUGAUGGGACCAGAAAGGUCUAUGCAUUCACCAUUAUCUUGCUGGUACUUGCUUCUUAGAAAUUUUCUUUUUACUGUAGAAAUGAUAAACACUGCAGGUGUAUUCCAUUUGGCUUUCACUGUGAGAUAAAAUACUCAUAGAAAUGAGGAGCCUUAGAAGCCUCUGAGACCAGUAAGCCCAAGAACAUCUGGAGGGGAGACUAGGAAAAUGCUUUUGUAGGAAUUUGCUAAGGGGAAGACAAAUGGGAUUUGAGUUAUAGGAAGUAGGUGACUGAAAUGCUUUGUUUCAUUGGAAAAGAGGGAGUAGGAUUAGGCUGGGAGGUUCCCAAGGAGCCUUGAACCAUGUGAACUAAAGCCAACUGUAGGCAUAACACGCUUUAUGUGUGCCUGUGGGUUUGCCAUUCCUGAGACUAUUGGCCUGGAAUCCAAUCUGGAUGAGGAGCGAUGGCUCCUGUGGGCUCCUGUAUGAGCUGGCUCCAACUGGGCAGUGGGAUGUAUGGGUGGGAGGUUGGAGACAUAGGUAGGGGUAGACCAGGAAUAUUUCCUCUCAUCCCUAUCUUUCUGCUCUGGGCAGUGUCUCUGGUAGCAGCUGUGACUCCUGUGUGGCCUCAGGCAUGCAGGCAUCAGCUUUGGCAUGGCUUGGGCUUAGAUAAGGCUACCCCUUCCCUCUGUUGCUUCAUGGCUAUAAUGACUUUCUGCUGUUACUUUUUUCUAGGGCUACCUCCCUGCCCUUUAUUGGCUUCUUAGCUCUCGAAGUUCCCUGCUUUAAAUUCCCUCUGCCUCAAAGACAGAGAAGUUUCUGGGUUUUUUUGUUUUUUCUUUCUUUUUUUCUGGCAGGAUCAUGAAGGAUAUAAUCUGAAUUCUUUGGCAUUUAGA